RNAcentral lists this ribosomal RNA (1009 nucleotides) under Xylaria sp. CL005. Its description in RNAcentral is "SSU rRNA". It matches the Rfam family "Eukaryotic small subunit ribosomal RNA", at positions 77 to 1092 of the family's 1831-position model. Lineage: Eukaryota; Fungi; Ascomycota; Sordariomycetes; Xylariales; Xylariaceae. The record is from RNAcentral.
UACGGGGAAACCUGGGAAUGGCCUCAUUAAAUCAGUUAUCGUUUUAUUUGAAAGUACCCUUACUACUUGGAUAACCGUGGUAAUUCUAGAGCUAAUACAUGCUAAAAAUCCCGACUCACGGAGGGAUGUAUUUAUUAGAUUAAAAACCAAUGCCCCUCGGGGCUUACUGGUGAUUCAUAAUAACUUCUCGAAUCGCAUGGCCUUGCGCCGGCGAUGGUUCAUUCAAAUUUCUGCCCUAUCAACUUUCGAUGGCAGGGUCUUGGCCUGCCAUGGUUACAACGGGUAACGGAGGGUUAGGGCUCGACCCCGGAGAAGGAGCCUGAGAAACGGCUACUACAUCCAAGGAAGGCAGCAGGCGCGCAAAUUACCCAAUCCCGACACGGGGAGGUAGUGACAAUAAAUACUGAUACAGGGCUCUUUUGGGUCUUGUAAUUGGAAUGAGUACAAUUUAAAUCCCUUAACGAGGAACAAUUGGAGGGCAAGUCUGGUGCCAGCAGCCGCGGUAAUUCCAGCUCCAAUAGCGUAUAUUAAAGUUGUUGCAGUUAAAAAGCUCGUAGUUGAACCUUGGGCCUGGCUGGCCGGUCCGCCUCACCGCGUGCACUGGUUCGGCCGGGCCUUUCCCUCUGGGGAGCCCUAUGCCCUUCACUGGGUGUAGUGGGGAACCAGGACUUUUACUGUGAAAAAAUUAGAGUGUUCAAAGCAGGCCUAUGCUCGAAUACAUCAGCAUGGAAUAAUAGAAUAGGACGUGUGGUUCUAUUUUGUUGGUUUCUAGGACCGCCGUAAUGAUUAAUAGGGACAGUCGGGGGCAUCAGUAUUCAAUUGUCAGAGGUGAAAUUCUUGGAUUUAUUGAAGACUAACUACUGCGAAAGCAUUUGCCAAGGAUGUUUUCAUUAAUCAGGAACGAAAGUUAGGGGAUCGAAGACGAUCAGAUACCGUCGUAGUCUUAACCAUAAACUAUGCCGACUAGGGAUCGGACGAUGUUAUUUUUUGACUCGUUCGGCACCUUACG